Long non-coding RNA from Carassius auratus (goldfish), 2787 nucleotides. RefSeq lists it as uncharacterized. The transcript is spliced from 3 exons. NCBI's taxonomy places the organism in Eukaryota, Metazoa, Chordata, Actinopteri, Cypriniformes, Cyprinidae. The record is from RefSeq and is a predicted model, not a curated record.
UGAAUUGAUGGCUCAAUCGGACUAAAAAACCUUCAUGUAAACACCUUAAUCGAUCUGAUUUAGCUUGAUCCAGAUGAAAUUUAGAUCGGAUUGAAAUGGUGUGGUUUAUCCCUUUUGUAAUCCGAUCGAGAGAACAUGUAAACACUUGAUCGGAUUGAAAACUGAAAGGACUGUGCAAUGACGUUAAAUAGCGUAAUGACGUAUGACGCGUGGAACGAGCUGUUCUUCCUGUUGAAUAAAGUGUCAUAUUAAUAAGUUUCCCGUCAUUCUAAAAUCCUAAUUUCACUCGCGUCUCUGUGAAGUGAAGCAGGACAACGUCCCACCAGUCCUUGUUUUGGAUUCUCAUCCAAAGAUGUCUGGUUUUGGCCGUGGUGAGGGGCAUUUUUCCUGCGUGAUCAAUAAGCAGCACGGCAAAACGGUUAAUCUGCUCUAAAUUAUGACCAGAGACAAAUUAAUAUUAUGUCUGCUGUUUAAAACAAAGAAAUAACCAAUAGAGGAGAAUAUUUAUGCGUGAACAGCCGGAAACUCUGUAUAUUUGUGCAGUGUGCCCAUGUCAAAACAUCAAAUCUGAUUUGAAACUUGUGACACAUAAACGCGCACAUCAACCCGAUUACUUUAUUUAUCAUUCAUGUAAACACCUUGUUCGGAUUCAUCAAUUGUAUUGAUUUCAUUCUGAUUGUGUCCAUGUAAACGUAGCUAAUGCUGUUAAAAUUCAGAGAUCAUUUUGGUCACUAUAGUCGUGAUAUGAACAUUUCAUACUGUUUCAUCUCUAUUCUGCGUCAUUCCUCUGUCUAAACAGCCAAGAGCAAAGAAUUUCAGCCCCAUUCCUCGUCUUCUCACUACCAAAUUCCCAAAGGAUGUUCAGUUAAAAUUGGAUAACAAAGAACCAUGUCAUAAGAUCAGCACUUACCGGCAUAAAAUUGUACGAGUGCUGCACGAGACUAUGGCUCAGCACACACUAUAUCCUUCAAACAGUGACUAUGUUUGUGCAGUCAAGGCUCUUAUCUCCAAAUACCCUUACCUGAGAGAUGCAGAGGGAAAUGGAUAUGAAGAACCAGCCACACCAUAUCCCACUGUACAGAUUUUGGGAGCGUCUAACUGGAAACAGGUCUUCAGCCAGAAGAGAAUUUUCAGCACUGUGAAAAUGAAGGGAUCUUUGCUGAGCAGUUGGGAUGGAGAACGGUGUUCUCUCUGCUUUUUGCACGUAUUUUGUAUUCAACCUUUCGUCCCUCAUACAACAGGAACACACAUCUCUUUCUCCAAAGGCAUGUGUUGAAGCUAACUGCACCUGGUGACAAACCAUUGCCAACUGCUGUCGUCAGGAUUAUUUUAUCUUAGACUGAGAGGAUGCCACGACCCUAUGCAUGUCCAAAUUGUUCCUCACAGACAUUCAUGAAUAUUGCUGCUUCCUUAAGCAAAAGACACCAAUUCAAACAGUGUUGGGAGUUUUCAUCAGAAAGCAUGUUAAGUGAUUAUGAAAAAGUGACUGGAACAAGCAUUCGCACUCAAGUUACAUCUUUACCCAGAGAGCUUCAAAAUACACCUAAUAGUCACAAAAGUUGUCAAGCCAUAGAUUUUGCAGGUAAAACACUUCAACGUGUAAAUAAUGUAAAGUACAGCACCAAAGAUGUGUUUGUUAUUGAUGUUGUGCAUACAGAGGAAGUUCCUUUAUUCUUUCAGGUUAAGUACGUUUUCAGUGUAGAUACAUUGUGGAUACUGUGUGGGAAACUGUUGCUCCCACAAUCGUUUGACUCUAAUUUCCAUGCAUUUCGUGUUUCAAAUGAUAAGGAUUGGUUUUGUGUGAUGCCAGCAGAGGAACUUGACCAACAGGCACUUGACCUUUAUGUGGUUGAUGACCAUUUGUAUGUAAGAGCCAGAUAUGCAUAGUCACUCACCUACAAAACAUUAGGUUUACAUCUCAGCUAUAUGCUAUACAUAAUUUAAUUACUCCUUUAAAACUGUUAAUGUUAUGUAAAUUCAAGGCUAUUGUGUGGAAGUUAAAAAUUUAAAAGUCUUAAGUUGUAUUGUGAAUAGCUUGUGAAUUUUUAUUGUAGAUUGGAAAAUGAAAUUGACAUUGACAUUUUAGUGAAAUAUUUUAUAUUAUAAAUGGAGAAAUGUUUUUAUGCUAAAAAUGUUUUAAAUCUUCAUUGUAAAGUGUACAGAUGUAUUUACAAAACAAGAAAUAUUUGAACCUGUAACAGUAUUCAAACAUGUAUUUAUGUGUAUUGUGAAUAGCUUGUGAUUUUUUUUUUUUUUAUUUUUUUUUGUAGAUGGGAAAAUGAAAUUGACAUAUUGUGACAUUUUAGUGAAAUAUUUUGUAGCAAAUGGAGAAAUGUCCUGUUAAAAAUGUUUGACAUUUUCAUUGUAAACUGCAGAGAUGUAUUUUACAAAAUAACCUGUAACAAAGUAUUCAAAUACAAUGUAUUUAUGUGUAUUGUUUCUCAUAUUAAAUUGAUUUUAUUCAAUAGAAAAAUGGCCUUUAAUAGUUCUUGAAGGAACAUAUUUGACACAGUUAAGGUACAAAAGGGCUUGUCACUGGGGUGGUACCUUAAAGGAUCAAAUUUGUACCUUAGAUAAAGGUACAAUAUUGUACCAGUAAGUAAAAAAAAAAAAAGGUACAUUUUGGUUUUCCAUGGUACAAAUCAUGUCCUUAAAGGUACAAACUAUAAUGGUACAAAUUUGUUACUUCACAUUAAGGUACAAUUUUGUACCAGUAAAAGGUACCGCCCCAGUGACAAGGGUUUGUACCUUCUUUGGUACAAAAUUGUACCUUUUUUUCCGAGAGUG